GUCGCAGUACUUUGACUGUGCAAAGGUAGCAUAAUCAUUUGGCUUUUAAUUGGAGUCUAGCAUAAAAGGAUUAACGUAUAGAAGCUGUAUCUAAUUUUAAAUUUAUUUAAUUUAAUUAUAAGGUGAAAAUACCUUAGUGAAGAAAAGCAGACGAGAAGACCCUAAGAAUUUUAAGAAAAUCACAAAUAAAAAUAUGUGUGGCGAUUUUUGUUGGGGCAACAUUUUUUCAUUUAAUAAAAACUAUUAUAGCUAACACAACGAAUAAGUUUAAUAAUGUAUAAAUUACCUUAGGGAUAACAGCAUAAUUUUUUAUAAAGAUUGUGACCUCGAUGUUGGACUAGGAACUAUUAAGGCUAGUCGU
This 361-nucleotide ribosomal RNA is filed under the name Montenegrina subcristata. Its description in RNAcentral is "partial 16S ribosomal RNA". Lineage: Eukaryota; Metazoa; Mollusca; Gastropoda; Stylommatophora; Clausiliidae. The record is from RNAcentral.